Molecule: ribosomal RNA, 249 nt
Filed under: uncultured Bacillota bacterium
Lineage: Bacteria; Bacillati; Bacillota
Description: uncultured Firmicutes bacterium partial 16S ribosomal RNA
Rfam family: Bacterial small subunit ribosomal RNA
Source: RNAcentral
CACGCGGUAAACGAUGAAUGCUAGGUGUAGGAGGUAUCGACCCCUUCUGUGCCGGAGCUAACGCAAUAAGCAUUCCGCCUGGGGAGUACGGCCGCAAGGUUGAAACUCAAAGGAAUUGACGGGGGCCCGCACAAGCAGCGGAGCAUGUUGUUUAAUUCGACGCAACGCGAAGAACCUUACCAGGGCUUGACAUCCAAUGAAUCCUACGGAAACGUGGGAGUGCCCUUCGGGGAGCAUUGAGACAGGUGG